UGGAAGAGGAAACUCCAUGAUUGCUGUUUUCUCUGCCAUUCCUUUAAUCCCGACCCCUGUCCUGCCUUCCCGGAAUUGUAAUUCUCUCUCAUUCUGCUUACUUCCAUCCUUCCUGGUUCUCGCUUAGGGACUUGUGGUUUCUGUUCAUGAACUGAGGUGAGGCUGCCUUCCUGCUUUCACAGAGAUCCUCCGUGUCUCGGACCACUGAAGCACUCUGUGCACAGGGUUCAUGUGGGCCAGCACAGCUCUCUCUCCAGAAGGGGCUGCACCGUCAUGUCCCACCACUUGCCGUCCUGCGUCUGGAGACACUUCUGAUGGACGAAGGUCACGUGAGCAUGGCCCCUGCUUCCAGCAUUCUACUGAUAGUUGUGGAUUAUUCAGGAAGACUAAGAUAAUGGCAACUAAAAUAAGUAGGUAAGGAGUAUUUUUCUUGAUUCUAACCAUUCCAUCUGUCUGACUAUAUUUAUAGUAUGUAAAACACCUGUUUUUAUUUCCAAGGGACCAAUCUGGUUCUAAAGUCGCAGCUGGUGAUAGUCUGUGAGGGUGUUUAGAUACUAUUUCUUGAGCAAGGCAGAUGGCUAUCAAAAGCAACUUCAUAGUUUUUCUUUUCUAUCACCAUCCCCAGAUUUGGACAAUCGCAUGUGGACAGAAUUGACAGGACGUGAGCUUGAAAAGUACAGGGCAUGUGUUGUGCUGGUAAUGCACAAGGGAUCACCAUAAUAAGCAUGGGAACGUCGAAGGGACCAAACACGGAGAAGGUUCAUGUCAUAGAAAUAAUGCUAAGAGAAGUCAGUACCCAGGACUAAAUGCAGGUAAGCAAGAAUCAUUGUCACUUCCAAGACAACAUUGACCUCAACUG
Molecule: long non-coding RNA, 859 nt
Filed under: Mustela putorius furo (domestic ferret)
Lineage: Eukaryota; Metazoa; Chordata; Mammalia; Carnivora; Mustelidae
Description: lncRNA (ENSMPUG00000031353.1)
Source: RNAcentral